GGGGAAUAUUGCACAAUGGGCGCAAGCCUGAUGCAGCCAUGCCGCGUGUGUGAAGAAGGCCUUCGGGUUGUAAAGCACUUUCAGCGAGGAGGAAGGGUAGUGUGUUAAUAGCACAUUGCAUUGACGUUACUCGCAGAAGAAGCACCGGCUAACUCCGUGCCAGCAGCCGCGGUAAUACGGAGGGUGCAAGCGUUAAUCGGAAUUACUGGGCGUAAAGCGCACGCAGGCGGUUUG
Molecule: ribosomal RNA, 234 nt
Filed under: uncultured bacterium
Lineage: Bacteria
Description: partial 16S ribosomal RNA
Rfam family: Bacterial small subunit ribosomal RNA
Source: RNAcentral